This 71-nucleotide transfer RNA is filed under the name Anaerolineae bacterium. RNAcentral's name for it is "tRNA-Cys". It matches the Rfam family "tRNA". Rfam says of the family: Transfer RNA (tRNA) molecules are approximately 80 nucleotides in length. Their secondary structure includes four short double-helical elements and three loops (D, anti-codon, and T loops). Further hydrogen bonds mediate the characteristic L-shaped molecular structure. tRNAs have two regions of fundamental functional importance: the anti-codon, which is responsible for specific mRNA codon recognition, and the 3' end, to which the tRNAs corresponding amino acid is attached (by aminoacyl-tRNA synthetases). tRNAs cope with the degeneracy of the genetic code in two manners: having more than one tRNA (with a specific anti-codon) for a particular amino acid; and 'wobble' base-pairing, i.e. permitting non-standard base-pairing at the 3rd anti-codon position. Lineage: Bacteria; Bacillati; Chloroflexota; Anaerolineae. The record is from RNAcentral.
GGCGACGUAGCCAAGUGGUAAGGCAGAGCUCUGCAAAAGCUCCAUCAUGGGUUCGAUUCCCAUCGUCGCCU